AACGAACGCUGGCGGCAGGCCUAACACAUGCAAGUCGAACGAGAAGCCACCUUCGGGUGGUGGACAGUGGCAGACGGGUGAGUAACGCGUGGGAACGUGCCUUUUGGUUCGGAACAACACAGGGGAAACUUGUGCUAAUACCGGAUAAGCCCUUACGGGGAAAGAUUUAUCGCCGAAAGAUUGGCCCGCGUCUGAUUAACU
RNAcentral lists this ribosomal RNA (201 nucleotides) under uncultured bacterium. Its description in RNAcentral is "partial 16S ribosomal RNA". It matches the Rfam family "Bacterial small subunit ribosomal RNA", at positions 29 to 246 of the family's 1533-position model. The record is from RNAcentral.